AAUAGCCAAGAGCUCACAGCUGAGAUAGAUGGAGAGGUAAGAGCAGCAGGAGCAGCUGCAAUAAUGAGCCUUAUCCAUGAGAGCCUCAAAGCUGAGUGGUCAAGGAAACAUUGUUGGAAACACAGCUUUUGUGUGCUUGGCUUAGUGAUGCAGGUCCUGAGAAAGUGAGUGACUGAGCAUGGAUUGGGAUAUGUGAAGUCAAGUGAAUCUAAUUUGAUUCACAAGUGAGUAUCUAAUGGGAAGUGAGUUCAAAAUGACUUUUAUUCAGUGACAGCAACUUUAAAUGUCUAUACAACUGAUCUUCAAGGUCGUUUAUUACCCCAGGGAUGUGUGAAGUUGCUGUAAUCAGAAUCUAAUGGAAUUAGGUGCAUGUGUCAAUUGGGCAUGGACUUAAAAUAACUUUUUUCCACCCAGUUGACAGCACCUUUUAAUGUCCAUACAACUGACUUUCAUGGUCAUUUAAAAACAUGUCUUAGUAGCAAAUAUUUGCUUAUUUUGUGCCAAUCAUGAUGGCUAAUAUAAAAUUGACUAUGCAUUGGAAAAUGCUUGGCAUAUCAAAAGCUUUAAUAUAAAGCCAGAGAAGUCAAAGCAAAUGGGAUAUAUUGUAAUGGGUUAAAAUACCAUGUAUGCUGUCAAAGGGACUUUAUAUUUACUUGUCCUCUGUGCUCCCCAUUAUUCUAGAUUUAAAAUGGGGAUAUUAGAACUUCCCUUUUGAUUGGUUGUUGUGGAGACCAUGAAUGCCUGAUUUUGUUAGAAAUGGAUGGGUUUGAAAUUUGUGCUUUAUAUUUAGUUAGUGGUGUGGUAUUCACUUUUCCAUGGUGGGAGGGCAGGGGGAUAUAUAUUAAUUGUCUUUACUUUUCCAGGAUGACUGAAUUCUAGUGCUCCACAAACAGGAAGGAAAAGUGAAUUUGUAAAACAAGUACACUUUUGAGUUGACCCCGUAUUUUCCUAAUCUGCCCUAUCCCCAUACUCAUUCUCAUUUUCAUCCUUUCCUGAUUGUCCAAGCUUUUUCACACUACUUCUAACUUCAACUAAACUAGUGAAUAGACUGCACCACUAAAAUGAAAUUUUUUUUAGUAAAACAACAUUUAAAAGGACACAAGGUGUCUGCAAUGAGGAAAAGGGGGCACAUCCCAAUCCCACGCCAGAACAUUUCUUCAAUAUGAACUACUUUUUGACAAGGACUAAUCCAGAAGAAAUUGGCUACCCCAGAUGAUGAAAAGGCACUCCUCUGGACACCACUGAGCAUCAAAAUGAUUCUUGACUUUUGUAUAUUUCUAUAAAUGUGAAAAAUGGCACACAAA
Molecule: non-coding RNA, 1304 nt
Organism: Monodelphis domestica (gray short-tailed opossum)
Lineage: Eukaryota; Metazoa; Chordata; Mammalia; Didelphimorphia; Didelphidae
Source: RefSeq, a predicted model, not a curated record